UAAGGAAUAUUGGACAAUGGGCGGAAGCCUGAACCAGCCAUGCCGCGUGCAGGAAGACGGCCCUACGGGUUGUAAACUGCUUUUGUACGGGAAUAAACCUCGGUAUGUAUACCGAGUUGAAUGUACUGUAAGAAUAAGGAUCGGCUAACUCCGUGCCAGCAGCCGCGGUAAUACGGAGGAUCCAAGCGUUAUCCGGAUUUAUUGGGUUUAAAGGGUGCGUAGGCGGCUUAUUAAGUCAGGGGUGAAAGACGGUAGCUUAACUAUCGCAGUGCCUUUGAUACUGAUGAGCUUGAAUGUACUUGAGGUAGGCGGAAUGUGACAAGUAGCGGUGAAAUGCAUAGAUAUGUCACAGAACACCAAUUGCGAAGGCAGCUUACUAAAGUAUGAUUGACGCUGAGGCACGAAAGCGUGGGGAUCAAACAGGAUUAGAUACCCGCGUAGUCC
This 444-nucleotide ribosomal RNA is filed under the name uncultured bacterium. Its description in RNAcentral is "bacterial SSU rRNA". It matches the Rfam family "Bacterial small subunit ribosomal RNA", at positions 355 to 796 of the family's 1533-position model. The record is from RNAcentral.